GUCAAUCUUAAAAUAAAGAAUCGGCUUCGAAUCGUAAAAUGAAAGAUUUUCAAGAGUUAAACUCUACAGUACUGAAUUCUUCAGCCACUAUCUUCAAUACUGAUUCAUGUUUCAGCACUCAGAAUUCCUUCAGCUCCAUAAAUUAGCAAGCACGAUCUGGCUUCCGGAAAAAUCACCAGUUUACUUGAAUACGAAACAUAAAAGUGUGCAGAACGGUUAGAGAAAAGGGAAUUCACUUCCUGUUGCAGCUACUUUCACUUAUAAAAUCGAACAAAAUGGAGGACGUUUUAAUGUCUUGGCUACAAAAGAGAAAAACCCCAUGUAGCUAACACAGAGCCUCGAUUAUCGAAACAGCUCCAAAUUUAUCCAUAAACUGUCCGUGAGAACAUUUACACAGAAUCCCGACGUUCCUGUCCCGCGAUUCAGUCCCGAGUUCGUGGACUUCGUAUGAAAUAACUAUUUAUUUGAAACGUUUGGUGAAAUCCGUUGUUGAAAGAAAGCCGUUCCAAAACAAAUGCUUAACUUAAGACGAAUUAUGACUAGUUAUUCAAUCAGUUACAUUUACAAAAGUAACGGCGCUGUAAUAAAGGAGGACGAGGCGGCAGUGCAGUGGCCGAGCUGCAUUACUGGACGAUUUAGCACGCUCUGCGUGUAGGAGGCGCUGUUUCACCAUUUUGUUUGGAUUUGUCGUCAAAUGUUCACACACAACUUCAAUAAGAGAUUAACAAUCACAGAUGACGCUCAAACAAAACAUUUCACACUUCUAAUUUAAAACGAGCAUUUUAUAUAUUUCACUCACAUUACAGUGCGAGCGUUUCCUGUUUAUUUUUAUUUUUUUAAACGCCGAUUUAGGUUCGAUCCGUCAAACCUCAUUCAAACAACACCAGCUGCUCGAUACUCACAAUAAACCUCACGCCGUUUUCCCGUCGCGGACGGUGCGAUAAUCCCACGGCACGAGUAAAUAAUCCAGUAUUCGGAAGAGGGAAUCGUGGGUAAUCCUUAAUCCGUAAAACGUUCCCAAGUCGAUAUAAUCCAAAAUCCCAAACUUGAGCGCGGUCGUGAAGUUGAGCCUUCCGAUAAAAUCCCGCAGAUCUGAAAAAGAUUUGCACAUUUACAAUGAUUACCAAAUGAACUAUCGUUUCUAUAGUAACAGCUCGUUUAAAAAAAAAAAAAAACAAGUGUGAGGAGACGUUUAUUAUACAUUUUAUAGAACUUUCCUGAGUGCUUUCUUUUCUCCUUUUUUUGCACUAAUAAACAUAAUAAUCGUUAGAGAACGUCCCGUUUCUAUUGAACUCAGAGGCCACGCCCACUUCUCCAAGACCGACAGCGGCGUGUAUGGAACGUUGUACGGAAGGAGUCAAGGCCAGGAGUAAGGACAAGCCAUAAACGUUUAGGGUGCCAAAAUUUAGGGUGUAUUUCUCAGAGGAAAACAAAGGAUUUUCUCGGCGAGAGAACCCUUAAGAGGUCCAAUGUUCUUCAAACAUUAUUGGUUCCUAUAAAAGUUCUUUUUAAAUCCUAUAUACUUUUAGUGUGAACUCAAAAAAAAAAUAAAUAAACGUCCUGUGACCUUCAUGAACAUCUCAAACAUGGGGCUGUUCGGAUGGUUAAAAGUUCUACAUUCUAAAUAGGUUCUACGUGAAAAGUUUUCUCACUGUGUUCUAGGGUCCAUCGUAGAACCCUCUACGCUUUCCCUCAGCUAAAUCAGCUGCUAAAUCGAUCCUUCAGGAGUAAAAAUAAAGAGCUCCUGGACUUUCUUUAGCGUUCAUCGCCAGAGGAACCAUUCAAUGUUCCUCCACGUUCGUGAAUCAUUAACGGUUCCUAAUAGAACCAGUAUAAACGGAAGUAAAACGUCCUGUGAUCUGCAUGUGCAACUCAUCCGAGGGUUCUUUAGACUCCGCGGUUCUAACUUUCUCAGUAGGCUUUACUCAGAAGCUUUCUGAAAAGGAAACGCUUUGUUGGAACUUGACUUUUUUCUAGUUUGAGAACCCUGCUUUGGAGUGCUACAAAAGAACCUUGGUUCCUUAAGGGUUCUUUGGAUUAGUUAAUGGUUCUAAAUGUCUGAAGGGGAAAUUUUCCCAAAAGGAAACCCUCUGUUGCGGUGAACGAGAACCUUUACACAGUCCCUUGAACAUUGAGCACAAGCCAAAAGGACAUUAAGAGUGCUUUCUAAAACUAAAGCAAAGGAUUUUCUCAUCAGUGGGAACUUUGGGCUCCUCCUCAAACAUUAAUGCUUCCUAAAAGAACAUGACUUUAAUAAGAACCUAUAUUAGAUGAUGUAUAGAACCC
Molecule: long non-coding RNA, 2286 nt
Organism: Ictalurus punctatus (channel catfish)
Lineage: Eukaryota; Metazoa; Chordata; Actinopteri; Siluriformes; Ictaluridae
Source: Ensembl